This 584-nucleotide ribosomal RNA is filed under the name uncultured bacterium. RNAcentral's name for it is "bacterial SSU rRNA". It matches the Rfam family "Bacterial small subunit ribosomal RNA", at positions 250 to 855 of the family's 1533-position model. The record is from RNAcentral.
UGGUGAGAUAAAAGCCCACCAAGGCAACGAUCAGUAACCGGCUUGAGAGAGUGAACGGUCACAUUGGAACUGAGACACGGUCCAAACUCCUACGGGAGGCAGCAGUGGGGAAUAUUGCACAAUGGGGGAAACCCUGAUGCAGCGACGCCGCGUGAGCGAUGAAGGAAUUCGUUUCGUAAAGCUCUGUCCUAGGGGAAGAUAAUGACAGUACCCUUGGAGGAAGCCCCGGCUAAAUACGUGCCAGCAGCCGCGGUAAUACGUAUGGGGCGAGCGUUGUCCGGAAUUAUUGGGCGUAAAGGGUACGUAGGCGGUUUCAUAAGUCAGAUGUAAAAGCGUGGGGCUCAACCCCAUAAAGCAUUUGAAACUGUGGAACUUGAGUAGUGGAGAGGAAAGUGGAAUUCCUAGUGUAGCGGUGAAAUGCGUAGAUAUUAGGAGGAAUACCAGUGGCGAAGGCGACUUUCUGGACACAAACUGACGCUGAGGUACGAAAGCAUGGGGAGCAAACAGGAUUAGAUACCCUGGUAGUCCAUGCCGUAAACGAUGAAUGCUAGGUGUCGGGGGUCAAACCUCGGUGCCGCAGUUAA